RNAcentral lists this ribosomal RNA (559 nucleotides) under uncultured bacterium. Its description in RNAcentral is "bacterial SSU rRNA". It matches the Rfam family "Bacterial small subunit ribosomal RNA", at positions 192 to 754 of the family's 1533-position model. The record is from RNAcentral.
UCCGCAUGGGUAAAGAAUUUCGGUUGUCGAUGGGGAUGCGUUCCAUUAGGCAGUUGGCGGGGUAACGGCCCACCAAACCUACGAUGGAUAGGGGUUCUGAGAGGAAGGUCCCCCACAUUGGAACUGAGCCACGAUCCAACCCUAUACGGGAGGCAGCAGUGAGGAAUAUUGGUCAAUGGACGAGAGUCUGAACCAGCCAAGUAGCGUGAAGGAUGACUGCCUAUGGGUUGUAAACUUCUUUUAUACGGGAAUAAGUGAGCCACGUGUGGCUUUUUGUAUGUACCGUAUGAAUAAGGAUCGGCUAACUCCGUGCCAGCAGCCGCGGUAAUACGGAGGAUCCGAGCGUUAUCCGGAUUUAUUGGGUUUAAAGGGAGCGUAGGCGGGUUGUUAAGUCAGUUGUGAAAGUUUGCGGCUCAACCGUAAAAUUGCAGUUGAUACUGGCGACCUUGAGUGCAACAGAGGUAGGCGGAAUUCGUGGUGUAGCGGUGAAAUGCUUAGAUAUCACGAAGAACUCCGAUUGCGAAGGCAGCUUACUGGAUUGUAACUGACGCUGAUGCUC